GUAGGGAAUAUUGGACAAUGGGCGCAAGCCUGAUCCAGCCAUGCCGCGUGAGUGAAGAAGGCCCUCGGGUUGUAAAGCUCUUUUGUUGGGGAAGAAAAGCAGUUGGUUAAUACCCGAUUGUUCUGACGGUACCCAAAGAAUAAGCACCGGCUAACUUCGUGCCAGCAGCCGCGGUAAUACGAAGGGUGCAAGCGUUACUCGGAAUUACUGGGCGUAAAGCGUGCGUAGGUGGUUGUUUAAGUCUGAUGUGAAAGCCCUGGGCUCAACCUGGGAAUGGCAUUGGAUACUGGAUAGCUAGAGUGCGGUAGAGGGUAGUGGAAUUCCCGGUGUAGCAGUGAAAUGCGUAGAGAUCGGGAGGAACAUCCGUGGCGAAGGCGACUACCUGGGCCAGCACUGACACUGAGGCACGAAAGCGUGGGGAGCAAACAGGAUUAGAAACCCCUGUAGUCC
This 450-nucleotide ribosomal RNA is filed under the name uncultured bacterium. RNAcentral describes it as "bacterial SSU rRNA". It matches the Rfam family "Bacterial small subunit ribosomal RNA", at positions 354 to 796 of the family's 1533-position model. The record is from RNAcentral.